GGGGGCGUAGGAGCAUGUCAAGGAAGCCUAAAGCGGGGACGGCGCUCUGAAUCCCAAGGCUCAUCUUCACCGGGGAGCGUCCGUUCUUCGCCGGUUCCGACGACAAACUAUUGCAAGGGUUCAAUGGAGAACUUGUGGCAAGGAAUGGAUAAUGCUUCUCAGCCAAUUGGUGAGGUGAAUUACACCCAUGGCAUUGACAUAGGUGAGCCCUACAUGUCAACCGAGCAGCAGCUUAACAACUUCCCUCCAGAUGGGUCCCAAAACAUGAACACUGCCGUGCCAGCACAACCUAGAGCUCCUAAAGGACGCAGGAAGGGUACUGCCAAACGUCAAGGUACAAAAUAGCCCGCUAAUAGCUCGUUAUUGUCCGCUAUUAGCUUUUUAAGAGAUCUCCCGCUACGCUAUACAAUAUUUGUCCGCUAUGUCCACUAUAGGGGUUUUUUAUAGGAUUUAGUGAUAAUAAAUGUCCGCUACUUCCGCUAAAGAUGUAGCCAAAAGAAAUAAAGAAUCAAUAUAACUAGGGUGGACCAUAGACAAAGCAUCACGGGCACAGUUAGGCAGUCAAGAGACGUGUUGAGUCUAUUUUAGAAUGUUAGACCAAUGAUGCUUCUAAUUUUAUAUGUAUUAUGGACUUAUGGCUAUGAAAAAUUUGCUGAAAUUGGUUGCACUACUGAUGUUAUUGGCCACAUUAUGCAUAUUUUUUUUGCAAACCGCUAAAUGGAUAGCUCCGCUAUAGCUUUCGCUAUAGCUCUCUUAGCUUUUUGGAAGAGCUUCCGCUAAACGUCUUAGCCCGCGAUUUUAUACCUUGCCAAACGUACAAAGAACUUCGCAACAAAGGAGGAUGAUUUUUUAUGCUCGGCGUGGAUUAAUGUGAGCAAGGAUCCUAUUGGGGGAAUCAACCAGCCAAUCCAAUCUUACUGGGCAAGGAUAAAAGCUUACUACGAUGAACACAGUAAAAUUGAUAGGUCCAACUCUGCCCUGCAACAUAGAUGGGCUGAUAUCCAGAAGGAUACUUCAAGAUUUUGUGGGUUCUACUAUGAGAUUGAAAGGAAAAACCAGAGUGGCGAGAGCGAAAAUGACAAGGUCAAAGACGCCAUCCAGAUGUAUGAGGGUAUUAUCGGAACCACUUUCAAGUUCAUUCAUUGUUGGUAUAUCUUACGCAAUGAGAUGAAAUGGAACGAGUGGCUCGCUUCCAUGUCUGCAAGCAACGAAGAUCCGCAUGUACAACCUGCUGAGGAAAACUUAGAUCCCACGCUCCCUCCUCGAAUUGCUAGGCCAGUUGCAGGGACAAGGGCAAGAAGGCACGCAGCAGCACCGCUUCCUCAUCUUCAGCUUGCCUUGAAGUGCUGCAAAAGAUGUCCAUAGACCGGAGCGCUUAUGAAGAACGGGUUGAGGCCGCAAGCAACAAGGAGGCCAAGGACAUAGCUUCUCGGUCUGAUCGCAAACUAGCUCUACAGGAAGAGCAGCUGCAAAUUCAGAAAGUGCAGGUGCAAAUACAACAAGAGAUGCUCCAACUCCAGAAGGAAGAUCGGGAAGAACAGGUCAUGAGCAUGCAUGUCGACAAGAUGACACCGUGGGUUCGUGAAUACUACAUCAACAAACAGAAGAUCUCUGCGAUGAGCUUCAGAGAUGAUGGUUCCAGUGGCCCUAGUAGGCAGUAGAUGUAAUUUUAUCAGUUUCCGUAUCAAACUAUGUGUUGAACUAUGCAUGACUGGGAUGGCUAGUAGAUGUAAUGUUAUCAGUUUCUGUAUCGGACUAUGUGUUCAACUAUGCAUGACUGGGAUGACCAGUAGAUGUAAUUUUAUCAGUUUCCGUAUCGAACUAUGUGUUGAAAAGUGGGGGCAUGAU
Long non-coding RNA from Panicum virgatum (switchgrass), 1848 nucleotides. RefSeq lists it as uncharacterized. The transcript has 4 exons. NCBI's taxonomy places the organism in Eukaryota, Viridiplantae, Streptophyta, Magnoliopsida, Poales, Poaceae. The record is from RefSeq and is a predicted model, not a curated record.